UGGGGAAUAUUGCACAAUGGGCGCAAGCCUGAUGCAGCCAUGCCGCGUGUGUGAAGAAGGCCUUCGGGUUGUAAAGCACUUUCAGCGAGGAGGAAGGUGGUGAGCUUAAUACGCUCAUCAAUUGACGUUACUCGCAGAAGAAGCACCGGCUAACUCCGUGCCAGCAGCCGCGGUAAUACGGAGGGUGCAAGCGUUAAUCGGAAUUACUGGGCGUAAAGCGCACGCAGGCGGUUUGUUAAGUCAGAUGUGAAAUCCCCGGGCUCAACCUGGGAACUGCAUUUGAAACUGGCAAGCUAGAGUCUCGUAGAGGGGGGCUAGAAUUUCCAGGUGUAGCGGUGAAAUGCGUAGAGAUCUGGAGGAAUACCGGUGGCGAAGGCGGCCCCCCUGGGAUAACACUGACGCUCAUGCACGAAA
Molecule: ribosomal RNA, 414 nt
Filed under: uncultured bacterium
Lineage: Bacteria
Description: partial 16S ribosomal RNA
Rfam family: Bacterial small subunit ribosomal RNA
Source: RNAcentral